ACAUGAAGUCGGAAUUGCUAGUAAUCGCGGAUCAGCAUGCCGCGGUGAAUACGUUCCCGGGCCUUGUACACACCGCCCGUCAAGCCAUGGGAGCCGGGGGCGCCUGAAGUGCGGUACCGCGAGGGCCGCCCAAGGGCGAGACCGGUGACUGGGGCUAAGUCGUAACAAGGUAGC
This 174-nucleotide ribosomal RNA is filed under the name uncultured bacterium. RNAcentral describes it as "partial 16S ribosomal RNA". It matches the Rfam family "Bacterial small subunit ribosomal RNA", at positions 1318 to 1500 of the family's 1533-position model. The record is from RNAcentral.